CUGGAUGUGUAACUUAAUGGUAGAGUGCUUGCCUAGAAUGUGCAAGACCCUGAGUUAGAAUCCCAGCACUGAGG
This 74-nucleotide transfer RNA is filed under the name Marmota monax (woodchuck). Its description in RNAcentral is "tRNA.Ser". The stretch from base 7 to 69 matches the Rfam family "tRNA", at positions 5 to 66 of the family's 71-position model. From Rfam's summary of the family: Transfer RNA (tRNA) molecules are approximately 80 nucleotides in length. Their secondary structure includes four short double-helical elements and three loops (D, anti-codon, and T loops). The record is from RNAcentral. Lineage: Eukaryota; Metazoa; Chordata; Mammalia; Rodentia; Sciuridae.